This 495-nucleotide ribosomal RNA is filed under the name uncultured bacterium. Its description in RNAcentral is "bacterial SSU rRNA". It matches the Rfam family "Bacterial small subunit ribosomal RNA", at positions 32 to 535 of the family's 1533-position model. The record is from RNAcentral.
AAUCAACGCUGGCGGCGUGCCUCAGACAUGCAAGUCGAACGAUUAAGACUUCCUUCGGGAAGUGCAUAAAGUGGCGCACGGGUGAGUAACACGUAAGUAAUCUACCCUCGAGUGGGGAAUAACGUUCGGAAACGGACGCUAAUACCGCAUAACGCAGCGGCACCGCAAGGUGACAGUUGUUAAAGGAGCAAUCCGCUUGAGGAGGAGCUUGCGGCAGAUUAGCUAGUUGGUAAGGUAAUGGCUUACCAAGGCUACGAUCUGUAUCCGGUCUAAGAGGACGGUCGGACACACUGACACUGAAUAACGGGUCAGACUCCUACGGGAGGCAGCAGUCGGGAAUUUUGGGCAAUGGGCGAAAGCCUGACCCAGCAACGCCGCGUGAAGGAUGAAGUAUUUCGGUAUGUAAACUUCGAAAGAAUAGGAAGAAUAAAUGACGGUACUAUUUAUAAGCUCCGGCUAACUACGUGCCAGCAGCCGCGGUAAAUCCUCGCGUGA